GACGAACGCUGGCGGCGUGCUUAACACAUGCAGGUCGAACGGAAAGGCCCUGCUUUUGUGGGGUGCUCGAGUGGCGAACGGGUGAGUAACACGUGAGUAACCUGCCCUUGACUUUGGGAUAACUUCAGGAAACUGGGGCUAAUACCGGAUAGGAGCUCCUGCUGCAUGGUGGGGGUUGGAAAGUUUCGGCGGUUGGGGAUGGACUCGCGGCUUAUCAGCUUGUUGGUGGGGUAGUGGCUUACCAAGGCUUUGACGGGUAGCCGGCCUGAGAGGGUGACCGGCCACAUUGGGACUGAGAUACGGCCCAGACUCCUACGGGAGGCAGCAGUGGGGAAUAUUGCACAAUGGGCGGAAGCCUGAUGCAGCAACGCCGCGUGCGGGAUGACGGCCUUCGGGUUGUAAACCGCUUUCGCCUGUGACGAAGCGUGAGUGAUGGUAAUGGGUAAAGAAGCACCGGCUAACUACGUG
Molecule: ribosomal RNA, 468 nt
Filed under: uncultured bacterium
Lineage: Bacteria
Description: partial 16S ribosomal RNA
Rfam family: Bacterial small subunit ribosomal RNA
Source: RNAcentral